CCCUCAGCCUUUGGAAGGGUUGUGGCCCUGCCCACACUUCGAUUUCAAACUUCUGGCCUCUGGAACUAUGAGCUAGCAGAUUUCUGUUGUCAAAGCCAUCUAAACUUGGGCUGCACACGAGGCAGCCUGGUGGAAAUGCCAGGCCUAGCGGGUACUAUCAGACAGGAGUGAUCUGUCUCAGCAGCUGAAACCCUGCCAGGCCUGCUUGCCUUGUGUUAGAAGUUUGCCCUUGGCCUCAGAGCUGUCAGCGAGGCCUGCCAUGGUUCUGGCCUCUCCUUCACAGAAGGGCAGGGGCUACCUGGCCCUGGAGAUUGUCAGGAGCAGGCAUGUCCCAGGGCACACAGCUUGGGCAGAGCGAAGAGAGGGGCAUGAUGAGGAGACACCAGGGCCAGUCGUUCCCCAGCGGAGUGCGGGCACUGGCAGAGGCCAGGUGGCCUGAGUCCCAGCUUCAGGAGAGCGCUGGGCCCACAGCCUGAAGGAGCCCAGCGUUUAGGAGUCCCUGCAGCUCCUCCCAGGCUAGGCUAGAAGCACGUCACCAGCCUCAUGAUUUGGAAUCUGAGGUCGACCUUCCAGAGCUCUGCAUCUGGGGAGAACAGUGUGGAGGCCCACCAUCUUCUACCACAGGUGACAUCCACCUGUGGCCCCAGGCGUGUCCCCAGGAUCACCAUCACAGGUGGCAUCUACCCAGUUUCUCCAUCGUGUCUCCACCGGUGUUCACCAUUUGCCAGCGCCACCAGGCCCCACCCCAACACUGUGCACCGGCAUGUCUGCAGCUGGGGCUGAACUUCUGUGCUUUUUGCAAAGCGAAGGUUUAUGUCAGCCCUGCGCACAGAAGGUCUCGGCACGUACUUCC
This is a long non-coding RNA of Tupaia belangeri chinensis (Chinese tree shrew), 853 nucleotides long. RefSeq lists it as uncharacterized. The record is from RefSeq and is a predicted model, not a curated record. NCBI's taxonomy places the organism in Eukaryota, Metazoa, Chordata, Mammalia, Scandentia, Tupaiidae. The transcript has 3 exons.